CCAAGGAUGUUUUCAUUAAUCAAGAACGAAAGUUAGGGGAUCGAAGACGAUCAGAUACCGUCGUAGUCUUAACCAUAAACGAUGCCGACCAGCGAUUAGGAGACGUUGAAUACAAAACACCACCAUCGGUGCGGUCGUCCUUGGCGUCGGUUUCGGCCGGCGCGGGGGUGGCUUAGCCCGGUGGCACCGGUGAAU
Molecule: ribosomal RNA, 195 nt
Filed under: Acanthamoeba sp.
Lineage: Eukaryota; Discosea; Longamoebia; Acanthamoebidae
Description: partial 18S ribosomal RNA
Rfam family: Eukaryotic small subunit ribosomal RNA (bases 1-155)
Source: RNAcentral